This 806-nucleotide ribosomal RNA is filed under the name uncultured Rhodocyclaceae bacterium. RNAcentral's name for it is "bacterial SSU rRNA". It matches the Rfam family "Bacterial small subunit ribosomal RNA", at positions 28 to 831 of the family's 1533-position model. Lineage: Bacteria; Pseudomonadati; Pseudomonadota; Betaproteobacteria; Rhodocyclales; Rhodocyclaceae. The record is from RNAcentral.
AUUGAACGCUGGCGGAAUGCUUUACACAUGCAAGUCGAGCGGCAGCGCGGGGGCAACCCUGGCGGCGAGCGGCGAACGGGUGAGUAACAUAUCGGAACGUACCCAGUCGUGGGGGAUAACUAUCCGAAAGGAUAGCUAAUACCGCAUACGACCUGAGGGUGAAAGCGGGGGACCGUAAGGCCUCGCGCGAUUGGAGCGGCCGAUAUCGGAUUAGCUAGUUGGUGAGGUAAAGGCUCACCAAGGCGACGAUCCGUAGCUGGUCUGAGAGGACGACCAGCCACACUGGAACUGAGACACGGUCCAGACUCCUACGGGAGGCAGCAGUGGGGAAUUUUGGACAAUGGGGGCAACCCUGAUCCAGCCAUUCCGCGUGAGUGAAGAAGGCCUUCGGGUUGUAAAGCUCUUUCAGCAGGAACGAAACGGUGGUCCCUAAUACGGGCUACUAAUGACGGUACCUGAAGAAGAAGCACCGGCUAACUACGUGCCAGCAGCCGCGGUAAUACGUAGGGUGCGAGCGUUAAUCGGAAUUACUGGGCGUAAAGCGUGCGCAGGCGGUUAUAUAAGACAGAUGUGAAAUCCCCGGGCUUAACCUGGGAACUGCGUUUGUGACUGUAUAACUCGAGUGUGGCAGAGGGGGGUGGAAUUCCACGUGUAGCAGUGAAAUGCGUAGAGAUGUGGAGGAACACCGAUGGCGAAGCAGCCCCCUGGGUCAACACUGUCGCUCAUGCACGAAAGCGUGGGGAGCAAACAGGAUUAGAUACCCUGGUAGUCCACGCCCUAACGAUGCGAACUAGGUGUUGGGGAAG